CCCCUCUCGGGGUCACACCUGGAGAGUUCCCAGUACUCUGCCGGUCUCGACUACAGGAGGGAGAGUCAGGCAGAGGCAUAUCCCUUCCAUUUCUAGCUUGGGCAGUGGCUAGCGAGUGGAAGGCAAUCGGCUACAGGU
RNAcentral lists this small nucleolar RNA (138 nucleotides) under Ornithorhynchus anatinus (platypus). Lineage: Eukaryota; Metazoa; Chordata; Mammalia; Monotremata; Ornithorhynchidae. The record is from RNAcentral.